Molecule: ribosomal RNA, 776 nt
Filed under: uncultured Neocallimastigales
Lineage: Eukaryota; Fungi; Neocallimastigomycota; Neocallimastigomycetes; Neocallimastigales
Description: partial large subunit ribosomal RNA
Rfam family: Eukaryotic large subunit ribosomal RNA
Source: RNAcentral
AUAGAGACUCAGAGCUGCAUAUCAAUAAGCGGAGGAAAAGAAACUAACAAGGAUUCCCUUAGUAACGGCGAGUGAAGCGGGAAGAGCUCAAAUUUGAAAUCUUCAAGGUUUUACCUUGACGAAUUGUAGUUUAAAGAAGUGUUUUCUGCUGAAGUUUUGGUAAAAGUUCUUUGGAAUAGGACAUCAUAGAGGGUGAGAAUCCCGUAUUUGACCAUUAUUUUCAGCUUUGUGAUACACUUUCAAAGAGUCGGAUUGUUUGGGAAUGCAGUCCAAAAUGGGUGGUAAAUUUCAUCUAAAGCUAAAUAUUGGCGAGAGACCGAUAGCGAACAAGUACCGUGAGGGAAAGAUGAAAAGAACUUUGAAAAGAGAGUUAAACAGUACGUGAAAUUGUCAAAAGGGAAGCGUUUGACACCAGCGUUGUUUUCUCGAAAAUCAAUUAAAAAUGGCUCGAUUUUGUAUUGCUUGAGACCUUAAAAGCUCACUGUACAUUUUUCGUGUCUUUUUUAAUGCACUUUUCGUUUAACAAGUCAACAUCAGUUUCUUUUGUUGUAAAAGGGUCAUUGGAAGGUGGCUUUCUUUUCGGAGAAAGUGUUUAUAGCCUUUGGCCUCUGCAAUCGGAGAGACUGAGGUCUGCAGCGUAGACUCUUCGGGGUUAGAUACAUUUGUGCUAAGUUAUAGCUUUUUAUAGACAACUUGUUGACUAUGAUUUAGUCUUGUAGCUUACUCGCUUAUGUUAUUUUACCUACGCUUAGGAUGUUGAGUAGCGACAUACGCAC